RNAcentral lists this unclassified non-coding RNA (568 nucleotides) under Hevea brasiliensis (rubber tree). The record is from RNAcentral. Lineage: Eukaryota; Viridiplantae; Streptophyta; Magnoliopsida; Malpighiales; Euphorbiaceae.
GCACGGCCUCUAUAGAAAACCAAGGUCUUUUUCAUGCCAAUGGAGAUAGGAUUGGAGCCUGACUUUCUAGCUCUUAUGGUGCGAUCCUUGCCCGUUGCUUUCCAGUAGCCGGCGUCCGUUGCCCUGUUCGAACGUUGACCAUUGGGAUAUUUCCGGUCACGCGGGCAGAAGAAGAACCACUCCGGAUCAUCCGUCUUAAUGACCGAUAGCCCAGGCAAAUCCCAGGGCUCCCAUUUGCAAACAUCGACCUCGGGGACAACCUCGACCUCAGAAUUCCGGCCGUUAAUCUUGAGUCUCAGGUAGUGAUUUAUGAGCUCUUCGUCGGUUGGCCUGAAUCUAAACCCCAGAGGCAGUGAUUCCGUUGACAACACUGCCAUUCAUUCCGCUGCUAUUAAUUUCUGUAUUCAAAUCCAGUGGAAAAUCGGAGGUUGUAUGCUCGUCUUCUAUGCACUGAGAAUAGUUUGGAUGCCACAAUUAAUGGAAAUUAUUGCAAAGCAAACAACACAAAAACGCACACGUUGUCUUCCAUAACUUUUCAAUGCUCUUACUCAGUGCUUUUAAACCCGCA